RNAcentral lists this ribosomal RNA (415 nucleotides) under Cutibacterium acnes. RNAcentral describes it as "bacterial SSU rRNA". It matches the Rfam family "Bacterial small subunit ribosomal RNA", at positions 28 to 441 of the family's 1533-position model. The record is from RNAcentral. Lineage: Bacteria; Bacillati; Actinomycetota; Actinomycetes; Propionibacteriales; Propionibacteriaceae.
GACGAACGCUGGCGGCGUGUUUAACACAUGCAAGUCGAACGGAAAGGCCCUGCUUUUGUGGGGUGCUCGAGUGGCGAACGGGUGAGUAACACGUGAGUAACCUGCCCUUGACUUUGGGAUAACUUCAGGAAACUGGGGCUAAUACCGGAUAGGAGCUCCUGCUGCAUGGUGGGGGUUGGAAAGUUUCGGCGGUUGGGGAUGGACUCGCGGCUUAUCAGCUUGUUGGUGGGGUAGUGGCUUACCAAGGCUUUGACGGGUAGCCGGCCUGAGAGGGUGACCGGCCACAUUGGGACUGAGAUACGGCCCAGACUCCUACGGGAGGCAGCAGUGGGGAAUAUUGCACAAUGGGCGGAAGCCUGAUGCAGCAACGCCGCGUGCGGGAUGACGGCCUUCGGGUGGUAAACCGCUUUCGCCU